This 117-nucleotide non-coding RNA is filed under the name Homo sapiens (human). Lineage: Eukaryota; Metazoa; Chordata; Mammalia; Primates; Hominidae. The record is from Rfam by way of RNAcentral.
GCUGGGUGUGGUGGCUCACGCCUGUAAUCCCAGCACUUUGGGAGGCUGAGGCGAGUGGAUCACCUGAGGUCAGGAGUUCGAGACCAGCCUGGCCAACAUGGUGAAACCCCGUCUCUA